Lepisosteus oculatus (spotted gar) is the source of this 793-nucleotide long non-coding RNA. RefSeq lists it as uncharacterized. Lineage: Eukaryota; Metazoa; Chordata; Actinopteri; Semionotiformes; Lepisosteidae. The record is from RefSeq and is a predicted model, not a curated record.
UGUGCAGAGGUGCAACAGCAGCUCCAGCUCACAGGAUUCGCGUCCACUGGUCAGGAGCUCAGACCCUUGACCCAGUCUUGCUCUACUGCAGACAGCAAGGCAGAGGAAGGAGGCGAGUUGGAAGGAACUGAAACUCUCCACAAGCAAGCAGCCUGUUCCCAUUCAGAAACUGGGUGUUCUCCUGAAGUACCUUUUGUGUGACCCUGCUUUUCUUUCACUUGUGUUUUAGUGGGGAAAGUGGGAUGUCUGGCAGAUUGGAGUGAGAUUCUGUACCAGACACAGUUCAGACUGCAAUACCAAUGGGGGCGGACAGUGAUUACUUGAUAAAGAUGACUUAAAAAGUAAAUUGUGAAAUUAUAAAAACAAGCUUAUGGCUGACCCAAAGAGAGACAGAUAAAGGGUUAUACGGUAAUGUUAAAGAAGUGUUUCAGUUCAAUCCUCUUAAACUACAGAGAGAUUUGUUUGUCUAAUUGUGGACAAUUUCACAUGAAUGCAAAUUAUGGUAGUAAAGUUCUGCAGUGUUAUAGCUUUAUAGCUGUGUCCUGGGACACUGUACACAUUAUUCAGAUUUUUAGUUUUUUUGUGUGUCUUUAGUGUGACGAGAGCAUCCUUUUUCCUGAAGUAAAAUGCUUGUGACCCAUUUUCUCAGCUGAAUACAGUACAUUACUAAAGGAUCAGGAGUCCCUCUGCAUCUCUCCUCUGUCCUACCUCCACCUGUGCAGUAACUCCCAGCUCCAUCACUCUGUGAGGGAGACUUGACUUCCUUGUCCUACAACCAGGGUGUUGGCCUUCA